CAAUCGUGCGCUGGAGGCUGGCCUAAUUCCUGCAAGUCGUACCAUNGUACCCGUAACUUGCUCUCGGGUGACGAGCGGCGGACGGGUGAGUAAUGUCUGGGAAACUGCCUGAUGGAGGGGGAUAACUACUGGAAACGGUAGCUAAUACCGCAUAACGUCGCAAGACCAAAGUGGGGGACCUUCGGGCCUCAUGCCAUCAGAUGUGCCCAGAUGGGAUUAGCUAGUAGGUGGGGUAACGGCUCACCUAGGCGACGAUCCCUAGCUGGUCUGAGAGGAUGACCAGCCACACUGGAACUGAGACACGGUCCAGACUCCUACGGGAGGCAGCAGUGGGGAAUAUUGCACAAUGGGCGCAAGCCUGAUGCAGCCAUGCCGCGUGUAUGAAGAAGGCCUUCGGGUUUGUAAAGUACUUUCAGCGGGGAGGAAGGCGAUAAGGUUAAUAACCUUGUCGAUUGACGUUACCCGCAGAAGAAGCACCGGCUAAUUCCGUGCCAGCAGCCGCGGUAAUACGGAGGGUGCAAGCGUUUAUCGGAAUUACUGGGCGUAAAGCGCACGCAGCGGUCUGUCAAGUCGGAUGUGAAAUCCCGGGCUCAACCUGGGAACUGCAUUC
Molecule: ribosomal RNA, 610 nt
Filed under: Klebsiella pneumoniae
Lineage: Bacteria; Pseudomonadati; Pseudomonadota; Gammaproteobacteria; Enterobacterales; Enterobacteriaceae
Description: bacterial SSU rRNA
Rfam family: Bacterial small subunit ribosomal RNA
Source: RNAcentral